CAGUCGCGUUCUCUGGGAUUCAGCCUUGCUUCUUGCUUGGUGCAUUUCCUAGUCUACGGGCCAGCAUGAAUCUUGAGCGGUGGAAAAGGGUUUGGGGAAUGUGGCACCUCCGGGUGUGUUAUAGCCUCCUGUCACAUGUGUCGGACCAGACUGAGGAACGCAGCUCGCAGCAGUGCCGGGGUUCGCCCCACGUACGAGCUUAGGAUGUUGACAUAAUGGACUUUAAACGACCCGUCUUGAAACACGGACCAAGGAGUCUAACAUGUAUGCGAGUGUU
RNAcentral lists this ribosomal RNA (277 nucleotides) under Rhizophagus intraradices. The record is from RNAcentral. Lineage: Eukaryota; Fungi; Glomeromycota; Glomeromycetes; Glomerales; Glomeraceae.